This 974-nucleotide long non-coding RNA is filed under the name Sorghum bicolor (sorghum). RNAcentral describes it as "long non-coding RNA (SBIC_LNC007286)". The record is from RNAcentral. Lineage: Eukaryota; Viridiplantae; Streptophyta; Magnoliopsida; Poales; Poaceae.
ACGGAGAAAAACCUUCUAGAGUAAGGCUUGUUGGUUGUAAGAUUCUUUGUAGCCUUCUCUCAGCCUACACAAAUAAUAGCUAGUUCUUCACUAUUAAAACAUCUCCAAAAGUUUGCUAUCUCUACCUGGCAUCAAUAAAUUUUUGAUAAAACAUGAAAAAACAUUCACCAACAAUUUGGCAUCUCAACUUGGUAAAAAUAGGAAGUUGGCAUAUUUCGGCCUUGUUUAGAGCAUCUCCAACAAUUUGCUAAAAAACUUUUGCCAAAUCUUAUGUUUUGACAAGUUGCUAAAAGAUUUGGCAAGUAAAAUAAUUUGUCAUCUCCAACAAGUUGCCAAUUGAACUUGCCAAAUUAUAAAAAAAAACAGGCCCACCACUAAACUACCAACUACCAAAUUGAUGGAUCCAUCCUUCCUCCGCGCCCUUUGUCUGCUCGCAAGGGUUCUGUUGUCCGUCGCGCCGCCGUGUCGUACAGCGCACGGCCAGCCACCUCUUCCUUCCACGGUGUACAAGUGACCAAGCCAGCCAUCUCCAAGAUCUCCUCCUCCACGAUCAGCUAUCAGUACCAGCACAUGUCAUCGCUAUCGAGCAGCACCACAGCACCUCUGCAGCAACAAGUAGGCCGGCAGGUUUCGAGGCAACACAAACUUUUCUGUCAAUUCCUGCUGGUGACAAGACAGGGAGCAGCUCAACAUGGGCCUUGUUUAGUUCCGAAAAGUGAAAAGUUUUCGGUACUGUAGCACUUUCGUUUGUUUGUGAAAAAUAUUAUCUAAUCAUAGACUAACUAGGAUUAAAAGAUUCGUCUCGUGAUUUACAGCUAAACUGUAUAAUUAGUUUUUGUUUUCGUCUAUAUUUAAUGUUUCAUGCAUGUGCCACAAGAUUCGAUGUGACGGAAAAUCUUGAAAAUUUUUUGAUUUUCAGGGUGAACUAAACAAGGCCAUAGAAUAUGCAAGCGAAUCUUGGCAGCAGCUCGGCA